UUGGUGCUUCAGCGAAUGGACGAAGCAGUUGAAUCGAUCAAGAAGUAUUACAUAAGGAGUUGGUUGCGGCGUUUAUUAUUUACUGACAAUAUUGACGUGUAUCUACGAGUUUUCCAAGAAGAUUAAUUAAAAGAUCUAUGUGUGGAGUGAACCAUGAGAAAAGUAAACGAUAAAUUAUGCAGUUGCGCAGUGGGUUUCAGGUGAAUGAAGUCGGACUUAUGGCUAACGACAUGGUCGGCCGAGUCACGGAGUCAAUUUUAUGCGAGCUUCCUGCACGGGGAGAUCCUCAUAGCGAAUUCUUGCCCGUGAACGCUUACGCAUGACGGAUGUGGCGAUGCACGGUUGCUUAGUCUCUUACGUAAACACACGUCCAGCGUUUUCCACGCUGCGCGAAACCCAGCCAUUGACGCGACGAGCAUGAACGGGCUCGUUUUUUUAGCGUACACAAAAUACGCUAUUAAUUAAGGCUGGCCUGACCUCCUAAUGGAAUAAUUCGCAUUCAUUCAUCUUGUUCUUGGUUUUUUUCUUGCACGUUGGAUUCUGACUCAUUCAGUUCAUAAAUGGCGCCAUUGAAUAUCAGAGAACAUUUUGAGAAAUUCUUUUCACAAAUUAUUUAUUAAUUCGCUUUAACACUAAACCUACCGCCGGUCAAAACGAACGGAGUCGUAUAUUUUCUUUACGAAUUGUUAGAAUUAUGUCUUUCGUAGGAAAUGACUGAAUCGAAAGAAUAAAAGUAAAAAUAACGAGAUGUCUAAAUAAA
Long non-coding RNA from Megalopta genalis, 760 nucleotides. RefSeq lists it as uncharacterized. Lineage: Eukaryota; Metazoa; Arthropoda; Insecta; Hymenoptera; Halictidae. The record is from RefSeq and is a predicted model, not a curated record.